Molecule: transfer RNA, 76 nt
Filed under: Bacteroidetes/Chlorobi group bacterium ChocPot_Mid
Lineage: Bacteria; Pseudomonadati
Description: tRNA-Thr
Rfam family: tRNA
About the family: Transfer RNA (tRNA) molecules are approximately 80 nucleotides in length.
Source: RNAcentral
GCCAUCAUAGCUCAGUUGGUAGAGCAGCUGAUUUGUAAUCAGCCGGUCGGCGGUUCAAGUCCGUCUGAUGGCUCAA